This 253-nucleotide ribosomal RNA is filed under the name uncultured bacterium. RNAcentral describes it as "partial 16S ribosomal RNA". It matches the Rfam family "Bacterial small subunit ribosomal RNA", at positions 524 to 776 of the family's 1533-position model. The record is from RNAcentral.
UACGAAGGGGGCUAGCGUUGUUCGGAUUUACUGGGCGUAAAGCGCACGUAGGCGGAUCGUUAAGUCGGGGGUGAAAUCCUGGAGCUCAACUCCAGAACUGCCUUCGAUACUGGCGAUCUUGGGUCCGGAAGAGGUGAGUGGAACUCCUAGUGUAGAGGUGGAAUUCGUAGAUAUUAGGAAGAACACCAGUGGCGAAGGCGGCCCACUGGUCCGGUACUGACGCUGAGGUGCGAAAGCGUGGGGAGCAAACAGG